RNAcentral lists this ribosomal RNA (559 nucleotides) under Arsenophonus endosymbiont of Bemisia tabaci. Its description in RNAcentral is "bacterial LSU rRNA". It matches the Rfam family "Bacterial large subunit ribosomal RNA", at positions 194 to 776 of the family's 2925-position model. Lineage: Bacteria; Pseudomonadati; Pseudomonadota; Gammaproteobacteria; Enterobacterales; Morganellaceae. The record is from RNAcentral.
UGCAAUGUUCGUAACAGUGUGGCCCUCAGUACCCCGAGGAAAAGAAAUCAACCGAGAUUCCCCCAGUAGCGGCGAGCGAACGGGGAGCAGCCCAGAGUCAACAUCAAUAUUUACCGCAGGAGAAGGGUCUGGAAAGGCCGGCAAUAAAGGGUGAUAGCCCCGUAUCUGAAGCGGUAAGUGUUGUGAACUCGAAGAGUAGGGCGGGACACGUGUUAUCCUGUCUGAAUAUGGGGGGACCCAUCCUCCAAGGCUAAAUACUCCUGACUGACCGAUAGUGAACCAGUACCGUGAGGGAAAGGCGAAAAGAACCCCGGCGAGGGGAGUGAAAUAGAACCUAAAACCGUGUACGUACAAGCAGUGGGAGCACCCGAAAGGGUGUGACUGCGUACCUUUUGUAUAAUGGGUCAGCGACUUAUAUUCUGUAGCAAGGUUAACCGCAUAGGGGAGCCGUAGGGAAACCGAGUCUUAACUGGGCGUUAAGUUGCAGGGUAUAGACCCGAAACCCGGUGAUCUAGCCAUGGGCAGGUUGAAGGUUGGGUAACACUAACUGGGAGGACCA